GACGAACGCUGGCGGCGUGCUUAACACAUGCAAGUCGAACGGUGAAGCACCUUCCUUUUGGUGGGUGUGGAUGAGUGGCGAACGGGUGAGUAACACGUGAGUAACCUGCCCCCUUCUUCUGGAUAACCGCAUGAAAGUGUGGCUAAUACGGGAUAUUCUGUGCCUGCUUCAUGGCGGGUGUGGGAAAGAUCCGCUUUUGGGUGUUUUUGGUGCGGGAUGGGCUCGCGGCCUAUCAGCUUGUUGGUGGGGCGAUGGCCUACCAAGGCGGUGACGGGUAGCCGGGCUGAGAGGGUGGACGGUCACGCUGGGACUGAGACACGGCCCAGAAACGGACGGGAGGAAGCAGUGGGGAGUAUUGCACAAUGGGCGCAAACCUGAUGAAGCGACGCGGCGUGAGGGAGGGUGGCGGUCGGGAUAUAAAGCUCUUUCGGCAGUGAAGCAGGCCUGUCCCUUGUGCGUGGGUUGACGGUAGCUGGAUAAGAAGCGCCGGCUAACUACGUG
Molecule: ribosomal RNA, 501 nt
Filed under: uncultured bacterium
Lineage: Bacteria
Description: partial 16S ribosomal RNA
Rfam family: Bacterial small subunit ribosomal RNA
Source: RNAcentral